UCAAAAUGGACAGUCCAUUUAAUUAGGGAAAAUGACACUUACAAAUGAGAUUAAUUUUUGCACCUGGUUAGUGGUUCAAGACAGUUGGGAUGAGCAACACUAGAUGUUUUUUCCUAUCUGUUCCAGACUUGGUGCCUAGUACUUGUGUUGCUGGUGUUAGAUGGUAGCCUGGUAGGUAUCCGGUGGCAGUGGCGGGGUCAAGAAUUUAGCAAAGGGUGUGCAAAUUUUCUUUUAAGGGUGUGCAAAAUUAAAUAUUUAUUCAUAAUAGCUAAUAUUUAACCUUUUGUAAAUCACGUAAUUACUCGACGAAGAGUGUUCAUCUUACCACCCUUCGUUUAAGGUGGCUCCGCCCAUGUCCAGUGAAUUUAGUCGAGGUGCGCGCAAUUUGGCUCGGAUACCAUGGUUAUCACACACACAAACAAAGAUUAGUACAACAUUGCUAGUAGCAGAGGCCUUAGUUUACAGUAGUAGCGUCGAAGCUAGUACUAGGAUUAGUAGCAUCUAAAAUAGAGCUAGAACUUGAUACAUUGAUUAUGCUAAGGCUUCCUAAGGUUGCUAGCAUAGUAGCAGUAGUUGCAGACACGAGUUUAGUAGUGGCUGCUCCUGAUGCAUUAACUUUCAGUGUCUUCAUAUGAUGUGCCAGUGGUGGAUCCAAAAUAUGUAGUUUAUCACUUGUAGAGAUGUUUAGUUUGCAACCGUUUUUAGCCAAAACAUCAGCCAGCAUAUGCGUUGCUUAAAAUUAUGCUGGACCUGCGGAUUCCCCAAUUCCUUCAAUCUUGACCUGCUUAAGUAGACAAGAUCUGUGUAUAGGGGAAGGAAAGUGGAGUUGAUGGAAGAGAUCAGUAGAAUCUGUUUCAAUUUCCACCAAGUUGAGAGUUUUUUCCUUAGCCAACCUGAGGCCCUGCUCUAAAGCUUGCAGUUCAGCCAUGGUUGGAGUAAGAGAGGUAUUUUUCAUAUAGAAACCAACCAACCAUUGUCCAGUUGAGUUCCGAAUGAUUCCUCUGAGGAUGGCAGUGAGAGUUGGAGAUUGAAAAGCCCCAUCAAUAUUAAGUUUGAGGCCUGUUGUAGGAGGGGGGUUCCACACAGUACGAACAGCAAUUUUAGCUGUUUGAGGGAUCUCAGCCGCAGAAAAAUAUAUUCAGAAGUACGCAUUAAGAUAUAGUUAUAGGAGAGGGGCUGAGGUUGAUUUUGUGCUCCGUUAAAGAGUGUCUGAUUUCUGUAAAUCCAUAUAUUCCAUAAUACAAAGGGGUAAAAGGGAAGCUGAUUGAGAGUGUCCUGAGACAUCUAAGGAGUGGGAGUGGGGAGAAUGGUCCAUUGGGGUUGGAGAUUGCGUAUCAACUUCGGGGCCACUGCAGGGCCAGUGGAUUUAGUACAUUCUCCAUCAUUGGUGAUGCAUGUAGGAAUCCAUAGAUAGUUUCAUGCCCCCCGUUAUGAGUUGGACUAGAAAGUUUGGGUUUUGUAUAUGAUCAUGGAGUUCACCCCGUUUAUGUCCAUCGUAAAGAACGCAGCUUUGUCUUUUAGAGCAUGUUUUAUCCAAGACUGCGUUUGUUGAAGUAGGUGGACUGUUUGUGUUGCAAACACCACUGCGUGUUCGGCCACUUGUUGGGAAGAUUGUAAGGAUUGUUGUUCAUGGUGGAAGAGGAGUGGGCGAUCCUGUUUCCAGUAAGUUUGAUAAUAAGGAAGUAUCACCAAGUAAAUGACUGGGGCAUUUGUUUGGAGAAUUUAAGGACAUGAGAAUCCAGUUGGAUUGGAGAUUCACUACACAUCAGUUUUGCUUUGAAAUUAAUUGCAGAGGAGUUAAGGAAGUCAGAGGAGGAGGAAAAGUGGUUUUGCCAUUGCUCGCAUUUGGAGGAAUUGCCCUUUGGAUUAAUUAUUACUACAGGAGAAGAACAAUAAUAAGUAACCAAGAAGAGAUUUUUGAGGUUGAUGACACAAAGGAGGAUUGUUUGAGUAAGCUACCAGAUGAUGUUUUGUGCUCCAUUCUUGGAAAUUUGACAGUACGCGAUGCUGCUAGGACGAGCAUUUUAUCUACCAGGUGGAAAUAUGUGUUUGCCUCUACGCAACUACGACAGCAACAACCCACAUUUGAAUUCAGAUGCUCUGAUAUGUUGAGGAUUCACCCUGGUCAUUCUUGUUGCUCUUACUAUCAAGAAAAAGAAAAAUUCAUGAAUGGAUUAUACCAGUUUUUAAGACACAAUUCUGGUUGUAGAGGUGGCUCAUGUUCAGAUGGUCUGUUGCUUUGGGAGAGAGUUUCCUAGUGCAUUUACCCAUUGGUUCCAAUCUCUUUCUAGAAUAAGUGUUGAAAGCUUACACCUUUCCUUUGAGUGCAUUCUCGGUGACUUAAGCCAGUUGCUUACAUUUUCUCUUGAGGUUCUCUCUCAGUCAUCUUCACUGGAACAUUUGGUUUUACAAGGCUGUGUUGUGUUAUCAAGUCCCAAAGUCCGUUUUAAUUCUCUCAU
This is a long non-coding RNA of Capsicum annuum, 2459 nucleotides long. RefSeq lists it as uncharacterized. The transcript is spliced from 4 exons. NCBI's taxonomy places the organism in Eukaryota, Viridiplantae, Streptophyta, Magnoliopsida, Solanales, Solanaceae. The record is from RefSeq and is a predicted model, not a curated record.